This 253-nucleotide ribosomal RNA is filed under the name uncultured bacterium. RNAcentral's name for it is "partial 16S ribosomal RNA". It matches the Rfam family "Bacterial small subunit ribosomal RNA", at positions 524 to 776 of the family's 1533-position model. The record is from RNAcentral.
UACAGAGGUCUCGAGCGUUGUCCGGAUUCAUUGGGCGUAAAGGGUGCGUAGGUGGCGCUGUAAGUCGGGUGUGAAAUCCUGAGGCUUAACCUCGGAACUGCAUUCGAUACUGCGGCGCUUGAGGACUGGAGAGGAGACUGGAAUUCAUGGUGUAGCAGUGAAAUGCGUAGAGAUCAUGAGGAAGACCAGUGGCGAAGGCGGGUCUCUGGACAGUUCCUGACACUGAGGCACGAAGGCCAGGGGAGCAAACGGG